This 75-nucleotide transfer RNA is filed under the name Sphaerodactylus townsendi. RNAcentral describes it as "tRNA-Gly". It matches the Rfam family "tRNA". Rfam says of the family: Transfer RNA (tRNA) molecules are approximately 80 nucleotides in length. Their secondary structure includes four short double-helical elements and three loops (D, anti-codon, and T loops). Lineage: Eukaryota; Metazoa; Chordata; Lepidosauria; Squamata; Sphaerodactylidae. The record is from RNAcentral.
GGAGGGACUGUGGCUCAGUGGAAGAACCUCUGCUUUCCCUGCAGAAGAUCCUAGGUUCAAUCCCCAGCAUCUCCA